This 1611-nucleotide long non-coding RNA is filed under the name Suricata suricatta (meerkat). Its description in RNAcentral is "lncRNA (ENSSSUG00005005551.1)". The record is from RNAcentral. Lineage: Eukaryota; Metazoa; Chordata; Mammalia; Carnivora; Herpestidae.
CAGUCUGGCCGCCUCCCAGUACUAGGUGUCCAGUGUCCCCUGUAUGGACUCCUCCCCACCCCACCCCUGCCAUUAAAAGGUAAUAUAGAUGUUCAUUGGUUAAAGUUUGGAAAAUGCGGAAAAUUAAAAUUAAUUUACCCAAAUCCCACCACUGAGACAAUCACCUGUUAAUGUUUUAGGGUAUGUUUAUCCUGUAUUUUUUCUAUGCAUAUAUAUUUUAUUACAAGAUUGGGAUCAUACUGUAUUUGCAGAUUUGUAUCCUUUCUUCUUUAACAUACUGUGAGCAUUUUCCCAUGUCAAUAAAUAUUCUUCAAAAAGUAAUGACUAGAUGAUAUUCCAUUCUAUGAAUUGUGGUAGACACUGCUAAUUGCCUACCCAAUAUUAUUCUUCCUUGCUAACACAGAAGAUGUCAUGGCCUCCCCUACCCACCACCAAAAAAACAAAAAACAAAAAACAGUACUGGUGCCUUCCUGGGAGGCAGCAGGAGCCCUGGCAGCAUUGAAGAGCACCUGGAACUAGGAAUGGCUCCGAGAAGCGCAGACGGGCACCACCAUACUGCACCAGUCCUGCCUGCAGCAGCCUCAGCAGCACAAACCAUGACCUGAUCAGAUGAAGUACCCAGAUAAUUCUACAGUUUGAGUCAAGGAGAGGCAUGUGGCAGCAGCAAGGUAUCCAGAUGGCUUUUAGAAGAGUCUGCAUGUGAAGUGUCAGUGUUUGCUGCUGUCUAGUCCAGAUGAGGGCAUGAAUUUUCUUGGUGAUACUCUUCAUAGCAAUCCCAGAGAAGAGAGGGCGCGCAAGGAUCGGGAGACACAGGCUGUUCUUUCAAGAAAAGGGGACACCUGUCGAACUACUGGAGUGAGAAGUCCAUCACCAAAGCCUGCACCCCAGUGCUCACUUACAGGACCCCGGGUGAAGUGCGGCUGGCACCGGCCAGGAGGAUUGUGGGGGCUGACUAACAGAAUCUCAUAGGUGAUACCCGAGUGGAGCCUGAGCUUGCCGCGUAUAGGAGAAAGACUGCUGUAGCCAAAAGAACCGGCUCAAACAAAAGCUCGUAGGCAAAAGGCACAGGACGUGUUUGCGCAACACCAGUAGUUGAGCAGGACUAAAACAAAGGCCUCCCAGCUCUCAUGACGGGACACAGGCGUAGCAGCAUUUCAGGCGAAGAAAGGACACAGUGAGAAAAGUCUGCAGGACAGAGGGCAGCCUGGAGAGGGACAGACAGUAGGAAAAGAGACCGGACAGGCCGGGGUCACACCCGUGACUGUGAGGGCGAGUGGGGCCUGGACCCGAGCAGCGGCAGUAGGUGCAGAAGAGCGAUGAAGUCGGGAGGCGCUCAUAAGCUGGAAUAAGUGCACGCCGGCGUCUUUAUGGCAAGAAAGAGCUCAUUUCAAAUCCAACGAGGACUUUGAGGGAGAAGGUCGCUAAGGCAUCGGCUGCCAACGUGUGAAAGAAGCAUCUUUGGGGCUGGGAAUAGGCGAGUGGAGCUGCGAGCUAUUUAUUUCAAGGAAUCUGCAAAUCCGUAUGGUCCCCAAGGCCCCUCUCUACAUCGAGUAAAGCAUGCCGUGGACAGGCAGGUACUGCUAUCUUACAAAUACUGUACAUAUACGUGUU